UGAGUAUCGCGUAUACAAUCUGCCUCAUACUAGGGAAUAGCCCGAAGAAAUUUGGAUUAAUGCCCUAUAGUAUCUUUUUAAGGCAUCUUAUUAAGAUUAAAGGUUACGGUAUGAGAUGAGUAUGCGUUCUAUUAGCUAGUAGGUGUGGUAACGGCACACCUAGGCUACGAUAGAUAGGGGCCCUGAGAGGGGGAUCCCCCACACUGGUACUGAGACACGGACCAGACUCCUACGGGAGGCAGCAGUAAGGAAUAUUGGUCAAUGGACGAAAGUCUGAACCAGCCAUGCCGCGUGCAGGAUGACUGCCCUAUGGGUUGUAAACUGCUUUUAUAUAGGAAGAAAAACUUUCUCGUGAGAAAGCUUGACGGUACUAUAAGAAUAAGGAUCGG
This 389-nucleotide ribosomal RNA is filed under the name uncultured Bacteroidota bacterium. RNAcentral's name for it is "bacterial SSU rRNA". It matches the Rfam family "Bacterial small subunit ribosomal RNA", at positions 107 to 496 of the family's 1533-position model. The record is from RNAcentral. Lineage: Bacteria; Pseudomonadati; Bacteroidota.